UACGGAGGAUCCAAGCGUUAUCCGGAUUCAUUGGGUUUAAAGGGUGCGUAGGCGGGACAGUAAGUCAGUGGUGAAAUCCUGCGGCUUAACCGUAGAACUGCCAUUGAUACUGCUGUUCUUGAGUGCAGAUGAGGUAGGCGGAAUGUGUCAUGUAGCGGUGAAAUGCAUAGAUAUGACACAGAACACCAAUAGCGAAGGCAGCUUACCAAACUGCAACUGACGCUGAGGCACGAAAGCGUGGGGAGCGAACAGG
This 253-nucleotide unclassified non-coding RNA is filed under the name uncultured Bacteroidales bacterium. Its description in RNAcentral is "contains 16S-23S intergenic spacer region". It matches the Rfam family "Bacterial small subunit ribosomal RNA", at positions 524 to 776 of the family's 1533-position model. Lineage: Bacteria; Pseudomonadati; Bacteroidota; Bacteroidia; Bacteroidales. The record is from RNAcentral.